RNAcentral lists this ribosomal RNA (1403 nucleotides) under uncultured bacterium. Its description in RNAcentral is "bacterial SSU rRNA". It matches the Rfam family "Bacterial small subunit ribosomal RNA". The record is from RNAcentral.
UAGAGUUUGAUCCUGGCUCAGGAUGAACGCUAGCUACAGGCUUAACACAUGCAAGUCGAGGGGAAACGAUGUUGGAAGCUUGCUUCCGAUAGGCGUCGACCGGCGCACGGGUGAGUAACGCGUAUCCAACCUGCCCACCACUUGGGGAUAACCUUGCGAAAGUAAGACUAAUACCCAAUGAUAUCUCUAGAAGACAUCUGAAAGGGAUUAAAGAUUUAUCGGUGAUGGAUGGGGAUGCGUCUGAUUAGCUUGUUGGCGGGGUAACGGCCCACCAAGGCGACGAUCAGUAGGGGUUCUGAGAGGAAGGUCCCCCACAUUGGAACUGAGACACGGUCCAAACUCCUACGGGAGGCAGCAGUGAGGAAUAUUGGUCAAUGGGCGAGAGCCUGAACCAGCCAAGUAGCGUGCAGGAUGACGGCCCUAUGGGUUGUAAACUGCUUUUAUAAGGGAAUAAAGUGAGUCUCGUGAGACUUUUUGCAUGUACCUUAUGAAUAAGGACCGGCUAAUUCCGUGCCAGCAGCCGCGGUAAUACGGAAGGUCCGGGCGUUAUCCGGAUUUAUUGGGUUUAAAGGGAGCGUAGGCCGGAGAUUAAGCGUGUUGUGAAAUGUAGUGGCUCAACCUCUGCACUGCAGCGCGAACUGGUCUUCUUGAGUACGCACAACGUGGGCGGAAUUCGUGGUGUAGCGGUGAAAUGCUUAGAUAUCACGAAGAACUCCGAUUGCGAAGGCAGCUCACGGGAGCGCAACUGACGCUGAAGCUCGAAAGUGCGGGUAUCGAACAGGAUUAGAUACCCUGGUAGUCCACGCUGUAAACGAUGAAUACUAGGUGUGGGGGGACUGACCCCCUCCGUGCCGCAGUUAACACAAUAAGUAUUCCACCUGGGGAGUACGACCGCAAGGUUGAAACUCAAAGGAAUUGACGGGGGCCCGCACAAGCAGUGGAUUAUGUGGUUUAAUUCGACGCAACGCGAAGAACCUUACCAGGACUUGACAUCCAACUAACGAAGUAGAGAUACAUCAGGUGCCCUUCGGGGAAAGUUGAGACAGGUGGUGCAUGGUUGUCGUCAGCUCGUGUCGUGAGAUGUUGGGUUAAGUCCCGCAACGAGCGCAACCCCUAUUGUUAGUUGCUACGAAAGAGCACUCUAGCGAGACUGCCGUUGACAAAACGGAGGAAGGCGGGGACGACGUCAAAUCAUCAUGCCCCUUAUGUCCUGGGCUACACACGUAAUACAAUGGUGGCCAACAGAGGGAAGCGAAGCCGCGAGGUAGAGCAAAUCCCUAAAAGCCAUCUCAGUUCGGAUUGCAGGCUGCAACUCGCCUGCAUGAAGCUGGAAUUGCUAGUAAUCGCGGAUCAGCAUGCCGCGGUGAAUACGUUCCCGGGCCUUGCACACACCGCCCGUCAAG